GCCUUUUCCGCCUGUAAGACCUGUCGCUAAUGUCUGCAUGCUAUGUUUUCCUGUCUCAUACAGCGCGAUCGAGCGCCGAACGUGAUCAAAAUAAGCAGAAAACAAGUAUCGCAGACAUAAUUUAUCAUAACUCUGGUUUUAUUUGGCCUAUCAACACAAUUUAAAAACUGGUAUAUAGGUUGAGGUCCUCACUUUUGAGAUAAAUUGAAACGGAGAGUCAACGAGGCUCCGUCUUGCAGCUACAUCCGGUUAAAUAUGUCAUGUGACUUGAACGCACACACACACACACACACACAGACACACACACACACACACACGCACACACACACACUCAGAGUCUGGUUUGUAGCACCUGCAAAAACAUGCUAUUUACAUAUUUGACAAGAAUGCAGAGGCUCCUUUUGCCCCUGAAAAAAAUCAAAUUUCAAACACAACUUGACUGGUCAUUUCUCCAAAAGACAACCAUGAAGCUCCAUCCAAACCUGAAGCAGGCAGUUGGUGCAUGUGUACAGUAACCUGAGGGGAGUGAGGUGACUGCUUCUGAGGAGAACAUGAGCAGUGAAGAUUUACCUUAGAGCUAGAACAGAGACGUGCACAUGAUUAUACAGGGGCAGGGGCUCAAGUUUUUUCCAGUCGUUUAUACAAUUUGGAAAUUAAUGUGAAAUUAAAAAACAAAGUAUUAAUAGAAAGGUAAUGACUGUCCUGUGUAGGUGACAGUGAUAUCCAAUAGGCUAGGCACUCACGAGGCUGGCUGUGGCAAGUGCAAGUGAAAGCAACACGCACUGGCAGGAAGAACAGCAAACGCCGAUGAAGGAAAAGGGUCUUUGCAGUGAUGGGCGUUACCAGAGGGGGGGGGGGGGGGGGGGCGCGCGACACAGCGCGGGCCCGCCAGUGCCCCAACGGGGCCCUAGUUAUUAGGGCCCGAGCGUAGCUGCUAAGCAGCUGCGAGAGCCCUAUUAUUCCCCAAGGGGUUUUUCUUUGUUUCUUUUUUCUUUUUCCUCCCCUUUGAACUGGAAAAUGGCCCACUUCCCACUGGCGAAAACUCAUGAAAUUUGGCAGGACGACCGGGCCUGGUGAAAAAUUUGAUAUUCUGAAGUCGCCCAAACAAUACAAUGCAAAAUGGCUCCAUAGCGCCCCCUAAGGUGAAAAAUUCACCUGACGCCUGUACGCUUUGUCAAAAUGACACAAAAAUUGACACACACAUGUAUCUCAAUAAGAUCUACAAAAAAGUCAGUGCGGGCGUAUCUGUCAAAUGUACGGUUAAAGGGUUAUUGCGCAUUUUUUGCCGAUCCGCACACAUUGGAAUUUCGCUAACUCCUCCGAAGGCUUUCGUUCCACCGGCACCACAUUUGCUCAGGCCAAUCUACACCCCAUGGCCAUUAAAAGUUAUUCAAAUCAUGACGCUGCACCCCACGGUUUAGGUUCUAGGGGGCGCCAAAGAUAACCCUAAAAUCCACAUAUUUCAAAGUCUUAUAACUUUUUAUUUUUGCCCUCACUGGCCUCCAAGUUUUCUAGGAUGAUGCAAUGUCCAGCCAUCAACACAUUUGUGAAGGAAUUUUUACUCCCCAAAAGAGCGCCCCCCCAUGGCAGGAGAAAAAAGUCCAUUUUUUCUUGUCCCAUAAGGUGAAAAUUCACACUAUUGACUGUCACGCCUGUACGCUUUGUCAAAAUUACACAAAAAUUGACACACACAUGUAUCUCAAUAAGAUCUACAAAAAAGUCCAUGCGCGCGUAUCUGUCAAAUGUACAGUUAAAGGGUUAUUCCGCAUUUUUUGCCGAUAUGCACACAUUGGAAUUUCGCUAACUCCUCCGAAGGCUUUCGUUCCACCGGCACCACAUUUGCUCAGGCCAAUCUACACCCCAUGGCCAUUCAAAGUUAUUCAAAUCAUGAUGCUGCACCCCAUGGUUUAGGUUCUAGGGGGCGCCAAAAAUAACCCAAAAAUCCACAUUCUUAAAUGUUUUAUAACUUUUUAUUUUUGUCCUCACUGGCCUCCAAGUUUUCUAGGAUGAUGCAAUGUCCAGCCAUCAACACAUUUGUGAAGGAAUUUUUACUCCCCAAAAGAGCGCCCCCCCAUGGUAGGAGAAAAAAGUCAAUUUUUUCUUGUCCCCUUACAUGAAAAUACACAUUGUUGAGUGUCACGCCUGAACGCUUUGUCAUAUUGACACAAAAAUUGACAAUCAUGUGUAUCUCAAUUAGAUCUACGAAAAAGUCAGAGAGCGCGUAUCUUUAUAAUGUACGGUUAAAGGGCUAUUUUGCAUUUUUUGCCGAUUCGCACACAUUGGAAUGUGGCUAUCUCCUCCUAAGGCUUUCGUCCCACCGAUACCAAAUUUGCUCAGGGCAAUCUACACCCCAUGCCCAUUCAAAGUUGUAAAAAUCAUGACGCUGCACCCCACGGUUUACGUUCUAGGGGGCGCCAAAGAUGACCCCAAAAUCCACAUUCUUAAAAGUCAUUUUGGCCACUGCAGGAGUACAGAGUACUGCAGUUCUAGGGGGCGCCAAAGAUGACCCAAAAAUCCACAUUCUUAAAAGUCUUUUUGGCCACUGCAGGAGUACAGAGUACUGCAGGAUACACACACAUAUACACACACGCCAACAUACACACACACACACACUCACACAGACACACACACACACUCAGAGUCUGUUUUUUAGCACCUGCAAAAACAUGCUGUUUACAUAUUUGACAAGAAUGCAGAGGCUUCCUUUUGCCCCUGAAAAAUAUCAAAUUUCAAACACAACUUGACUGUUCAUUUCUCCAAAAGACAACCAUGAAGCUCCAUUUCAAACCUGAAGCAGAUAGUUGGUGCAUGUGUACAGUAACCUGAGGGGAGUGAGGUGACUAUUUCUGAGGAGAACAUGAGCAGUGAAGAUUCACCUUGGAGCUAGAACAGGGACGUGCACAUGAUUAUACAGGGGCAGGGGCUCAAGUUUUUUCCAGUCAUUUAUACAAUAUGGAAAUUAAUGUGAAAUUAAACCACAAAUAUGUGUGAUGAACUGUUUUUAAAACUUAAACUUCAAAUAAAAAUUGUAAACUUCAAAACAUAUGCAAAUUUUUAACAAAGAACAUAGUAAUUUACCUCUAUUUACAUCAAAAUGCAGGCAAUGGCCCAGGCGUUCUUUGUAAAAUUAUUUACAAAACACUGUAUAGUCUCACAAAUGUCACUUUUUAUUUAUGCCACUACAAAAAAACAUGAUGUAAAUGAUGCAUGAUGUAAAACAUGAUGUAAAAAACUUGUGUAGAUCCUCCUCUAUGUCAGUCCAUGUGUAAUUUUUCCAUAAUUCUUUGUUUUUUGCAGCAUUUUUGUUAGUGUAGCUGCAGAUUGUGCUGACAGUGUCUAUGGCACAAAAAAAAAAAAAAUUAAAAUGCCUCAACAUGAACCCCUGGUGGUCUCUGAGGGUGAAACCUGCUAACUGCUGCAGCUCUGUCAGCUUCAGUCUCCCAUGCAGAGCUCUGAGCGCAUGUGUGGCUCUGCACCCUUAGCAGCGUUGCUAACUCCUCAGUAAGGAAAGCCUGCUUCAUGUCAGAGUCUCUAAACUCCAGAAGAAGUCGAUAAAAGUCCCUUUCUUUCUAAAAAAAGUCGUUAGGGGGUCUGAAAAGUCAUUGAAUCUAACAACAAAGUCGCUAGGUUUGCAACUACGUGUCCCAGACUGCAUCCCUGCUGAGAGUCCCUCCCUCCCUUCUCAUGUUGCAGGAAGAACGUAAGCGCCCGCCCCUUGUCAAUCAGUCACCAUAUAAUUUUGGAUUGGUUGUUGUGGUGAAGUUUUCCACCAAUAGGAGAGAUGUUGUGGUGUGUUUUUUUUUUCUUUUGGCAAUCCUUUUCCGCCUGUAAGACCUGUCGCUAAUGUCUGCAUGCUAUGUUAUCCUGUCUCAUACAGCGCGAUCGAGCGCCGAACGUGAUCAAAAUAAGUAGAAAAAAAGUAUUGCGGACAUAAUUUAUCAUAACUCUGGUUUUAUUUGGCCUAUCAACACAAUUUAAAAACUGGUAUAUAGGUUGAGGUCCUCACUUUUGAGAUAAGUUGAAACGGAGAGUCAACGAGGCUCCGUCUUGCAGCUACAUCCGGUUAAAUAUGUCAUGUGACUUGAACGCACACACACACACACACAGACACACACACACACGCACACACACACACUCAGAGUCUGGUUUUUAGCACCUGCAAAAACAUGCUAUUUACAUAUUUGACAAGAAUGCAGAGGCUCCUUUUGCCCCUGAAAAAAAUCAAAUUUCAAACACAACUUGACUGGUCAUUUCUCCAAAAGACAACCAUGAAGCUCCAUCCAAACCUGAAGCAGGCAG
This is a non-coding RNA of Xyrichtys novacula (pearly razorfish), 4299 nucleotides long. The record is from the annotation of a GenBank genome assembly. NCBI's taxonomy places the organism in Eukaryota, Metazoa, Chordata, Actinopteri, Labriformes, Labridae.